Molecule: ribosomal RNA, 827 nt
Filed under: Salmonella enterica
Lineage: Bacteria; Pseudomonadati; Pseudomonadota; Gammaproteobacteria; Enterobacterales; Enterobacteriaceae
Description: partial 23S ribosomal RNA
Rfam family: Bacterial large subunit ribosomal RNA
Source: RNAcentral
GGGUUGUGAGGUUAAGCGACUAAGCGUACACGGUGGAUGCCCUGGCAGUCAGAGGCGAUGAAGGGCGUGCUAAUCUGCGAUAAGCGCCGGUAAGGUGAUAUGAACCGUUAUAACCGGCGAUACCCGAAUGGGGAAACCCAGUGUGAUUCGUCACACUAUCAUUAACUGAAUCCAUAGGUUAAUGAGGCGAACCGGGGGAACUGAAACAUCUAAGUACCCCGAGGAAAAGAAAUCAACCGAGAUUCCCCCAGUAGCGGCGAGCGAACGGGGAGGAGCCCAGAGCCUGAAUCAGCAUGUGUGUUAGUGGAAGCGUCUGGAAAGGCGCGCGAUACAGGGUGACAGCCCCGUACACAAAAGCGUAUGUGCUGUGAGCUCGAUGAGUAGGGCGGGACACGUGGUAUCCUGUCUGAAUAUGGGGGGACCAUCCUCCAAGGCUAAAUACUCCUGACUGACCGAUAGUGAACCAGUACCGUGAGGGAAAGGCGAAAAGAACCCCGGCGAGGGGAGUGAAAAAGAACCUGAAACCGUGUACGUACAAGCAGUGGGAGCACCCUUUGGGGUGUGACUGCGUACCUUUUGUAUAAUGGGUCAGCGACUUAUAUUCUGUAGCAAGGUUAACCGAAUAGGGGAGCCGGAGGGAAACCGAGUCUUAAUUGGGCGUUAAGUUGCAGGGUAUAGACCCGAAACCCGGUGAUCUAGCCAUGGGCAGGUUGAAGGUUGGGUAACACUAACUGGAGGACCGAACCGACUAAUGUUGAAAAAUUAGCGGAUGACCUGUGGCUGGGGGUGAAAGGCCAAUCAAACCGGGAGAUAGCUGGUUCUCCCCG